UUAUGGCUCAGGAUGAACGCUAGCUACAGGCUUAACACAUGCAAGUCGAGGGGCAGCAUUAUCGAAGCUUGCUUGAUAGAUGGCGACCGGCGCACGGGUGAGUAACGCGUAUCCAACCUUCCCCUUAGUAGGGCAUAGCCCGUAGAAAUGCGGAUUAAUACCCUAUGUUGUAUUAUGAGGACAUCUGAAUAAUACCAAAGGUUCACCGCUAAGGGGAUGGGGAUGCGUCUGAUUAGGUUGUUGGCGGGGUAACGGCCCACCAAGCCAUCGAUCAGUAGGGGUUCUGAGAGGAAGGUCCCCCACAUUGGAACUGAGACACGGUCCAAACUCCUACGGGAGGCAGCAGUGAGGAAUAUUGGUCAAUGGGCGAGAGCCUGAACCAGCCAAGUAAGCGUGCAGGAUGACGGCCCUAUGGGUUGUAAACUGCUUUUAUACAGGGAUAAAGUCGGGGACGUGUCCCCGUUUGUAGGUACUGUAUGAAUAAGGACCGGCUAAUUCCGUGCCAGCCGCCGC
RNAcentral lists this ribosomal RNA (513 nucleotides) under uncultured bacterium. RNAcentral's name for it is "bacterial SSU rRNA". It matches the Rfam family "Bacterial small subunit ribosomal RNA", at positions 17 to 518 of the family's 1533-position model. The record is from RNAcentral.